This 523-nucleotide ribosomal RNA is filed under the name uncultured bacterium. RNAcentral describes it as "bacterial SSU rRNA". It matches the Rfam family "Bacterial small subunit ribosomal RNA", at positions 777 to 1297 of the family's 1533-position model. The record is from RNAcentral.
AAUAGAUACCCGGGUAGUCCACGCCGUAAACGAUGAGUGCUAAGUGUUAGAGGGUUUCCGCCCUUUAGUGCUGCAGCUAACGCAUUAAGCACUCCGCCUGGGGAGUACGGCCGCAAGGCUGAAACUCAAAGGAAUUGACGGGGGCCCGCACAAGCGGUGGAGCAUGUGGUUUAAUUCGAAGCAACGCGAAGAACCUUACCAGGUCUUGACAUCCUCUGCCAACCCUAGAGAUAGGGCGUUCCCCUUCGGGGGACAGAGUGACAGGUGGUGCAUGGUUGUCGUCAGCUCGUGUCGUGAGAUGUUGGGUUAAGUCCCGCAACGAGCGCAACCCUUGAUCUUAGUUGCCAGCAUUCAGUUGGGCACUCUAAGGUGACUGCCGGUGACAAACCGGAGGAAGGUGGGGAUGACGUCAAAUCAUCAUGCCCCUUAUGACCUGGGCUACACACGUGCUACAAUGGAUGGUACAAAGAGCUGCGAACCCGCGAGGGUAAGCCAAUCUCAUAAAAGCCAUUCUCAGUUCGGA